This 500-nucleotide ribosomal RNA is filed under the name uncultured bacterium. Its description in RNAcentral is "partial 16S ribosomal RNA". It matches the Rfam family "Bacterial small subunit ribosomal RNA", at positions 29 to 523 of the family's 1533-position model. The record is from RNAcentral.
AUUGAACGCUGGCGGAAUGCUUUACACAUGCAAGUCGAACGGCAGCACGGGGGCAACCCUGGUGGCGAGUGGCGAACGGGUGAGUAAUACAUCGGAACGUGCCCAGUCGUGGGGGAUAACGUAGCGAAAGUUACGCUAAUACCGCAUACGAUCUACGGAUGAAAGCGGGGGACCGUAAGGCCUCGCGCGAUUGGAGCGGCCGAUGUCAGAUUAGGCAGUUGGUGAGGUAAAGGCUCACCAAGCCGACGAUCUGUAGCCGGUCUGGGAGGCCGGACAGCCACACGGGGAGUGAGCGACGGCCCAGACUGCUGCGGGAGGCUGCAGUGAGGGAUUUUGGACAAUGGGCGAAAGCCUGAUCCAUCCAUUCCGGGUGCAGGACGAAGGGAUUAGGGUUGUAAACUGCUUUUGUACGGAACUAAAAGGCUCUGGUUAAUACCUGGGGCUCAUGACGGUACCGUAAGAAUAAGCACCGGCUAACUACGAGCCAGCGGCCGCCGUAA